CGCGUAGGCGGUGUUUUAAGUGAGAUGUGCAAUCCCCGAGCUUAACUUGGGAACUGCAUCUCAGACUGGAACGCUAGAGUACUGGAGAGGGUGGUAGAAUUCCACGUGUAGCGGUGAAAUGCGUAGAGAUGUGGAGGAAUACCAGUGGCGAAGGCGGCCACCUGGACAGUAACUGACGCUGAGGCGCGAAAGUGUGGGUAGCAAACAGGAUUAGAUACCCUGGUAGUCCACGCUGUAAACGAUGAACACUUGGUGUGGCGGGAGUUGACCCCUGCCGUGCCGUAGCUAACGCGAUAAGUGUUCCGCCUGGGGAGUACGGUCGCAAGGCUGAA
This 332-nucleotide ribosomal RNA is filed under the name uncultured bacterium. Its description in RNAcentral is "bacterial SSU rRNA". It matches the Rfam family "Bacterial small subunit ribosomal RNA", at positions 568 to 898 of the family's 1533-position model. The record is from RNAcentral. RNAcentral also lists the same sequence under 1 other name.